This 414-nucleotide ribosomal RNA is filed under the name uncultured Funneliformis. RNAcentral's name for it is "partial 28S ribosomal RNA". The record is from RNAcentral. Lineage: Eukaryota; Fungi; Glomeromycota; Glomeromycetes; Glomerales; Glomeraceae.
GAGAGUUAAACAGUACGUGAAAUUGUUGAAAUGGAAACGAUUGAAGUCAGUCAUACCAACGGGAAAUCAACCUCUUGAGUUUGGUCUCGUGGGUUUCGAAGAGUUUAAAAGCCUUCGGAUUUUCGAGAUUGGGCUCUUCUGGUGUACUUUCUCGUACGGUUAGUCAACAUCGGUUUUGAAUGUCAUAAAAUGACUGGAGGAAUGUGGCUUCGAUCUCGUAUUGAAGUGUUAUAGCCUUUGGUAGAUGUGAUGUUCGAGACCGAGGAUUGCAACGGAUACCCUUCUGGGCUAUUCGUCUGAUCUCUGAAACGUUGCCUUGAUGUCGAAAGCUUGCUUAUGAUGUUAGGGUAUUACGGUCAAAAGGUUAGAACGGAUUAAAUUCGUUAAGGAUGUUGACGUAAUGACUUUAAACGA